AGAGACAGCAGCUGCGGAGAAAGGACAGCCUGCCAGAAAGUGAGGCUACUUUCCUUCCACCCUCUAAUCUUCUGCUAUUCGCUCCACUUGCUGAACUCAGCUGGAAUCCAGUGGCCAAGGGAGCCUGCUGAUGCAAUCCCUACAAGGGCAGCUCUUGGGGCACGGAUCAGGGGUGAAAUGGAGACAAGAUCUGGAUGGGCAAAGGAAGGAGAUCCAGCUCACGUUUCAAGGCCAACUCCUCCCCAAGUGCACGACAAUCCCUCCCAUUGAAGGCGCCAAGAAGGAACUCACUGUCAUCGCCGAGACCAGAGUCAGCGGGUGAAGGCAGCGACCAGUUCUGGAACCACAUUCAGUCCCACACCCAAGAAGCUGAGCGAAACUCUUCCUCCUCCACGAGGCCUCUCCCAGCCCUUCAGUUCAUGAUGCCUUGGUGAGAGAGAGUCUUGCUCAGUAACCCAGGCUGGAGUGCAGUGGCGCGAUCUCAGCUGACUGCAAGUUCCACCUCCCGGGUUCACGCCAUUCUCCUGCCUCAGCUUCCCGAGUACCUGGGACUACAGGCGCCUGCCACCACGCCCGGCCAAUUUUUUUGUAUUUUUAGUAGAGAUGGGGUUUCACCAUGUUAUCCAGGAUGGUCUCAAUCUCCUGACCUCAUGAUCCUCUCGCCUCGGCCUCCCAAAGUACUGGGAUUAUAGGCACAAGCCACUGCAACCGGCCACUCUGACUUUCUUUAUGCAGUCCUUCAGGUUGCCCUUCUUCUUCUUCUUCUUUUUUUUUUUUUUUUUUUUUUGAGAUGGAGUCUCGCUUUGUUGCCCAGGCUGGAGUGCCGUGGCACGAUCUUGGUGCACUGCAACCUCCGCCUCCCAGGUUCAAGCAAUUCUCCUGCCUUAGCCUCCCGAGUAGCUGAGACUACAGGUGCGUGCCACCAUGCCUGGCCAAUCUUUUUAUUUUUUAGUAGAGAUGGGCCAGGCUGGUCUCAAACUCCUGACCUCAAUGCUGGGAUUACAGCUGUGAGCCACCACACCCGGCCUCAGUUGCCCUUCUCUCUUCUCCCCAGAACAACAAACAUGCUGAAUUUUAUUACUCCCUUUAUUUUCACUGUGGUUUUAAUACAUAUGUACAUGUCCCCAAAUAACAUGCUUAGCUUUAUUUCUGAACUUCAUAAAAAUAUAUUUAUGUUAUAUGGAGUCUGCAACUUCCCUACCCUGAAGUCACGAACAUGUUUUUCUAUAUUUUCCUCCCUGCUCCUCCAGUGUUCUCUGCCUUGGCACUCCUAGGUAUGACCUAAGCUAUUUUAAUUUGUAUUUAAGGAUAUAUUCUUUGCCAAAUGUUAUAGAGUUUACCAAAUAGCUCCUUGUCGAUCUCUUUCAGCACAUAAUCCCCACUCCUUUCUUUUUCUAACAAUCUGGAAGGCUCUACAAUGAUGGCACCCAUGUUUGACAAAGGGUUUCCGGGCACUUCUGAACAGCCUGGGAAUGUAUUAAUAGUUGGGAACUGAGAUCAAUAUGUCUUAGAUGUUUCAUGGCCUAAGGGACAACAGCACGGUAUUGUGAUGAGGCGAAGAACAGGCUUUGGAGUCAGGCAUUCCUAGGGUUGAAUCCCUCGUGUCAAUCAGCUGUUGACACAAGACUGUUGCAAACAAAUGACUGAACACUCAGUGGCUUAAAACAACGGAUAUUUCAUCCUGCAUUUGCAGUCCUGCAAGGCUGACUGUGGUUCUGUGAUCUACAAUGGACUCAAUGUGCAGCUUAGCUUGAGUAUGCCUAUUGACGGAGCUUGGAUCCCAAGCCAUGGGUUGGUAUCAGUUAUCUACUGCUGUAUAACUACCCCAAAACUUAGUACCUUAAACAACAA
Gorilla gorilla gorilla (western lowland gorilla) is the source of this 1851-nucleotide long non-coding RNA. RefSeq lists it as uncharacterized. NCBI's taxonomy places the organism in Eukaryota, Metazoa, Chordata, Mammalia, Primates, Hominidae. The record is from RefSeq and is a predicted model, not a curated record. The transcript is spliced from 3 exons.